Long non-coding RNA from Dreissena polymorpha, 1569 nucleotides. RefSeq lists it as uncharacterized. The transcript is spliced from 2 exons. The record is from RefSeq and is a predicted model, not a curated record. Lineage: Eukaryota; Metazoa; Mollusca; Bivalvia; Myida; Dreissenidae.
AUGUUAAAGUUCUUAUUUCAUGGUAUAACUUUGGUAUGCUUGGACCUAGAGUCUUCAAACUUGACAUGAAGGUUGGCCAGGAUUAACAGAUGACCACUGGUCAUUUCAAGGUCAUUCAUUUGAAGGUCAAGGUCACUGUGACCUUCAAUAUAAAAAAUGUUAAAGUUGUUAUAACUUUGGUAUGCUUGGACCUAGAGUCUUGAAACUUGACAUGAAGGUUGGCCAUAACUAGUUAGUAACCACUGGUCAUUUCAAGGUCAUUCAUUUGAAGGUCAAGGUCACUGUGACCUUGAAUGUAAAAAUGUUAAAGUUCUUAUUUCAUGGUAUAACUUUGGUAUGCUUGGACCUAGAGUCUUCAAACUUGACAUGAAGGUUGGCCAGGAUUAACAGAUGACCACUGGUCAUUUCAAGGUCAUUCAUUUGAAGGUGAAGGUCACUGUGACCUUCAAUAUAAAAAUGUUAAAGUUGUUAUAACUUUGGUAUGCUUGGACCUAGAGUCUUGAAACUUGACAUGAAGGUUGGCCAGAACUAGUAAGUAACCACUGGACAUUUCAAGGUCAUUCAUUUGAAGGUCAAGGUCACUGUGACCUUGAAUGUAAAAAUGUUAAAGUUGUUAUAACUUUGGUAUGCUUGGACCUAGAGUCUUGAAACUUGACAUGAAGGUUGGCCAGAACUAGUAAGUAACCACUGGACAUUUCAAGGUCAUUCAUUUGAAGGUCAAGGUCACUGUGACCUUGAAUGUAAAAAUGUUAAAGUUCUUAUUUCAUGUUAUAACUUUGGUAUGCUUGUACCUAGAGUCUUCAAACUUGAAAUAAAGAUUGGCCAGUACUAGAAGAUGACCACUGGUCAUUUCAAUGUCAUUCAUUUGAAGGUCAAGGUAACUGUGACCUUAAAUGUUAAAAUGUUAAAAUUGUUAUAACUUUGGUAUGCUUGGACAUAGAGUCUUCAAACUUGACAUGAAGGUUUGCAAGCACACUUAGAUGACCACUGGUCAUUUCAAGGUCAUUCAUUCUAAGGUCAAGGUCACUGUGACCUUGAAUGUAAAAAUGUUAAAGUUCUUAUAACUUUGGUAGGUAAAAAUGUUAAAGUUCUUAUUCCAUGUUAUAACUUUGGUAUGCUUGUACCUAGAGUCUUCAAACUUGACAUAAAGGUUGGCCAGUACUAGAAGAUCACCACUGCUCAUUUCAAUGUCAUUCAUUUGAAGGUCAAGGUCACUGUGACCUUCAAUGUUAAAAUGUUAAAAUUGUUAUAACUUUGGUAUGCUUGGACCUAGAAUCUCAAACUUGACGUAAAGGUUUGCAAGCACACUUAGAUGACCACUGGUCAUUUCAAGGUCAUUCAUUUCAAGCUUGGAUCAUAUUUAUGUGUCCAAUCUAUCUGCUAGAACUGGUGUGAUAGAAACCUUUUGGAGUGAUCAUAAGGCUGUCUGGAUUUCUGUGUAGGUAUGUGAAAGCAAAACAAUAAAUAGUAUUAUUUCAUCUAAGUUUAUUUUCUUACAUUUGAUAAUGAAAUUGAUGGAAACUUCAAACAAUAUGUUACUAAUUUGCUAAUAAAAAAAUUGAGAUCAAA